CAUGGUUUGCUGAAUUCCUCCACUGUCCAGCAAAUUAGCCUUGGUCCUGGUUAUCUCUUUUGCUCUCAGCAUUCCUAAAGCAUUGCAACAAAUAAAAGAGCUGCAUUUCUUCUUAGAUGUUUUCCAAAUAUCCAGAGAACUGCAACUGCUACUUUUGAAUAUCCUAGAGUAUCACAAAUUCUUCUGACUACAAAAGCUUAUUGGAGAUCUAAUAGUUUCCUGCCAAUAGAUUGAUAAAGGACUUUUUUCUUUUUUUGCCUGGUCCAGGGCGUGUGGAAUUUCCCUGGCCAGGGAUCACAUCUGCUCCUCAGCAGUGACCCGAGCUGCUCUACUGACAAUGUUGGAUUCUUAACCCGCGCACAACAAGGGAAAUUCCAAGCACUUUUGAACCUUUGAGAAGAAUGCUAAAGGGAGUAGGAAUGAAGGUGUGGAGUGGUCAGAAAUCUGCACCAGCGCCCAGGCAGGACCGGCUGCAGAUUCUGAGUGAUUCUGGGUACAGAACUCAUUGAAAUACAAUAUUCCCAGGCUAACUGCUGCAGACGAUAGAGGUGGAAAUCUGAGGGACUGAUGAAAUACUGCUGGAAGGAGGGUGGGAAAGGGAUGGUAGGGAGCCUCAGCUCCAAUCGCUUAGAAGAGAAAUACAUUUUUGCCUCAUAAUUUUCUAUUUUGUGCUAUAUGCCUGAUAUGUUGGCCUCAUUUACUAGAGUAAUGAAAUGUUUUUCAAAGGUCCAUAUUCUCCAGUGUGCACCAGUUUCCUGAUGUAUGAUGGAGAAGUCAGAUCCCAGCAACACUUUAAAGCUGUAAGUUUAAGGCAAGUUCUACAAAUUGCAGAGUAUGUAUCCCCCUCUCUAACAGGGGCACAGUCUAUUUGCCUCUUGAGGUGGUAGGCAACUUCUUUCUCUUGACACAGUGGUUUAGACUCCAUGGUGAGGUAAGGCAUUUGGGGAACUGGAGUCUUCAUUCCUUACUUAGAGGGGAAGGAGAGAAGUAACCUCAGCUUGUG
RNAcentral lists this long non-coding RNA (1003 nucleotides) under Sus scrofa (pig). RNAcentral describes it as "lncRNA (ENSSSCG00025056920.1, ENSSSCG00035068792.1, ENSSSCG00050011214.1, ENSSSCG00065027568.1)". The record is from RNAcentral. Lineage: Eukaryota; Metazoa; Chordata; Mammalia; Artiodactyla; Suidae.